UUAACUGAAAGGGGGGCGUUUACCACGGUAUGAUUCAUGACUGGGGUGAAGUCGUAACAAGGUAACCGUAGGGGAACCUGCGGUUGGAUCACCUCCUUACCAAAAUGAAGC
This 111-nucleotide ribosomal RNA is filed under the name Glaesserella parasuis. RNAcentral describes it as "partial 16S ribosomal RNA". The stretch from base 1 to 99 matches the Rfam family "Bacterial small subunit ribosomal RNA", at positions 1435 to 1533 of the family's 1533-position model. The record is from RNAcentral. Lineage: Bacteria; Pseudomonadati; Pseudomonadota; Gammaproteobacteria; Pasteurellales; Pasteurellaceae.